AGCAGCCGCGGUAAUUCCAGCUCCAAUAGCGUAUAUUAAAGUUGCUGCAGUUAAAAAGCUCGUAGUUGAAUUUCGGGACCGAUAUAUCGGUCGUGCCUCGGUACGUACUGGUAUUUUCGGUUUCUACCUUCUGACGAACCUUGAUGUCAUUAAUUUGGUGUCUUGGGGAAUCAGGACUGUUACUUUGAAAAAAUUAGAGUGUUUAAAGCAGGCUCACGCUUGAAUACAUUAGCAUGGAAUAAUGAAAUAGGACGUUUGAUUCUAUUUUGUUGGUUUCUAGGAUCGACGUAAUGAUUAAUAGGGAUAGUUGGGGGCAUUAGUAUUCAAUUGUCAGAGGUGAAAUUCUUGGAUUUAUUGAAGACUAACUACUGCGAAAGCAUUUGCCAAGGAUGUUUUCAUUAAUCAAGAACGAAAGUUAGGGGAUCGAAGACGAUCAGAUACCGUCGUAGUCUUAACCAUAAACUAUGCCGACUAGGGAUCGGAUGAUGUUAAUUUUUUAAUGACUCAUUCGGCGCCUUACG
RNAcentral lists this ribosomal RNA (521 nucleotides) under uncultured Glomus. Its description in RNAcentral is "SSU rRNA". It matches the Rfam family "Eukaryotic small subunit ribosomal RNA", at positions 569 to 1092 of the family's 1831-position model. Lineage: Eukaryota; Fungi; Glomeromycota; Glomeromycetes; Glomerales; Glomeraceae. The record is from RNAcentral.